Molecule: ribosomal RNA, 312 nt
Filed under: Aeromonas dhakensis
Lineage: Bacteria; Pseudomonadati; Pseudomonadota; Gammaproteobacteria; Aeromonadales; Aeromonadaceae
Description: partial 23S ribosomal RNA
Rfam family: Bacterial large subunit ribosomal RNA
Source: RNAcentral
GGUUAAGUGACUAAGCGUACAUGGUGGAUGCCUUGGCAGUCAGAGGCGAUGAAGGACGUACUAACCUGCGAUAAGCCGUGAGCAGUCGGUAAGAGACAUUACGACUCACGGAUUUCCGAAUGGGGAAACCCACCUAGCAUAAGCUGGGUAUCGCUGCGUGAAUACAUAGCGUAGCGAGGCGAACCGGGAGAACUGAAACAUCUAAGUACCCCGAGGAAAAGAAAUCAACCGAGAUUCCCUCAGUAGCGGCGAGCGAACGGGGAUUAGCCCUUAAGCAUCUUGGAAGUUAGUGGAACGGUCCUGGAAAGGCCG